UACUUGGUGUGAAUUGCAGAAUCCCGUGAACCAUSGAGUCUUUGAACGCAAGUUGCGCCUGAAGCUUUUAGCCGAGGGCACGUUUGCCUGGGUGUCACA
This 99-nucleotide ribosomal RNA is filed under the name Corymbia bloxsomei. RNAcentral's name for it is "partial 5.8S ribosomal RNA". It matches the Rfam family "5.8S ribosomal RNA", at positions 59 to 154 of the family's 154-position model. Rfam says of the family: 5.8S ribosomal RNA (5.8S rRNA) is a component of the large subunit of the eukaryotic ribosome. It is transcribed by RNA polymerase I as part of the 45S precursor that also contains 18S and 28S rRNA. The record is from RNAcentral. Lineage: Eukaryota; Viridiplantae; Streptophyta; Magnoliopsida; Myrtales; Myrtaceae.